UCUCCUGACGCUCCCUUGUAAAACUUCCAGAGAGUCCAUUAAGUCUGGUUAAUAUAAGGGACUGUCAGCGAGCUGCAACAUUAUAUCAAUGUUACAUCGGUGCCGUCCUUGACGCUUCUGUCACGCUCCUUUUAGAAAAGGGAGAGCCGGUGAUGAGAGAGACAGUCGGAGAUAAAGAAGUGAGGGAACAGAACACCAUCCAGACCAGAAACAGCUCUCAACACCUCCGUAAUGAUGUUGGACUCGCACACACAGGACUCUUUCUGUCUGCGUUUCCUCUGCUGGUCGUCCCAAGCCCUUCAGGCUGAGCUUUAAACUCUGACCUGUUCCUUUUAUCCUGCUGUGUGUUUAAACUAUUCAGGCGUGUCGGAGAAAACGAGGCCACAAGAAGCUGGAACACGAACUAGACUUUCCCUAAGCUCAAAUAAAAGGCACGAGGGGAAAAAAAGCAGGAAAGUGAUGAAGAAAAGCUGUCAGCCAAGCGUCAGAGAUGGAUGAAAGAGUUAGUGACCUCUGACCUCCCCCAGACCCCUUCCUCAGCUCCCCAAAACCCCCAAAACUCUCACAGAGCAACGACAGAUUCCUUUCAGCACAGCGUCAGCUCAACAAUAGCAUCGGCUGCAUCCCACAGAUACUGCAACUCCUCAGAAGAGAUGAGUAAUGCAUUACUUUCUUUCUGUUCACACUAAAUCUACCAAGAACCAUAAGGAAACCUGAAACAGACCCAGAUGACUGCACUUGAGUCCUGAGCGAGAAUGUAACCUUUGAUCUGUGACCUCUCAGGUCAAAGGUCAAGGGUGGUGCCGGCUUUCCCUCAUCAUCGCUAUGGAAACCACGCAAAGUGUUUGCAGUGCGUCUUUGCGGCUCUUCUACAAAUAGCAGCACAUGUCUAGAAGCCAUGAAGCACAAGAGAAGUCCAACUUUUUCUUUUCUCUGUCAACACAUCUGUGUGAUGUGUAUUUAUUAUUGUCACAGGCUCUUAUUUGGCUUGAUCUAUGGCAGAAUGAAAUGUCAGUUUUAAAGAUAAUUACAUUUUUUUCUCCUCCAACAGAUCCAUUCAUCACAUUCGCGGUCCUCUGCCAUUUUUAGACUCUGGAUAACAUGCCUCGACUCAUUCCAUCUUUCUCUUGCUCUCUCACACACAUCCACAGUGAGUCACAUCCUAUUAUGUGGCAUGAAGUCACCAGAAAUCUGUUAAUUACAAAGUCCAGAGCCCAACUAGUAUGAUUAUGAUGAAGUUAUUUCCAUGAGAACGUUCAGCAGUCGUGGAUUUACUGCUUCUUUUACUCUGUGUUUGUAAUCAGCAUCUCUUUUUCUCAUGGGAGGAGAGUCCUCAGUCCUCUUUAUUACACAAGCACAAUGCUGAUAAACCAAUCAGAAACACUCUUAUUAUUACCACCUGAUAACAGAUUUGUGCUUGAGAGGAGAAGAAAUAAGACGCAGGGAUGGAUGGAUGGAUGGAUGGACGGAAGUCACAAUGCAGAAAAUAAUUAAGAACCCCAUUUGAAUUUCAGUUAAGUUCCCGAAUUUGAAUUGAGGCCAUUCAAACAUAAAUUUAAAUUAAUUUAAAAAUGUAAAGGAAUUUAUAGAAGCAUGAAAACUUGUUUGCGCCACUGAAUAAAAAAUAAAAAAGGCAAUUGUGACUUUUUAAUCUCAUAAUUUUGAUCUCACUUUUUUUCUAGCAUUUGCGAGUUUACAUUAUGCAGUUCUGACUUUAUAACACACAAGUGUGAUUUAUAAAGUUAGAAUUUUGAGAUAUAAACUUGCCAACGAAAGAAAACAUCAGAAUUGUGAACCAACUUCUUUUUUCACCAGAACUUGGCUUUAUAAGUCGCAGUUGUAUGUUUGUUUUUCAUAAUUGCAAGAAAAACGUCAGAACUGAAAGAUACAAUUUCGCAAUUUCAUCAUUAUUAAGUGUAGCCACAUAAUGACAUUUAGUAACUUUUCAUAAUGGAAUCCUUCCCGGAUGAAUUUCAAAUACAUCUGCGUGCAGAAUUGUGUUGUGAAAUUUGUGAAAAAACUGUGAAAUUUCAUAACUCUAAAUGGAUAGUGUUGCAAUGUUACGACCCUGUCUAGGGAAAGGCCGCAACAUAAACCGAAAUCAGCAAUCAAAGAUCGUUUUUACAUUUAUUUACAGAACCACAGGGUAAAAGCACAACUUCAGGGGUGAGCAAAGCCCAAAACAACAAACAAACACCAAGUAAGCUCCUAACAGAAAAUACUAAAUUUCCUAACAAAAUAAAUAAAAAUAC
Long non-coding RNA from Carassius auratus (goldfish), 2252 nucleotides. RefSeq lists it as uncharacterized. The transcript has 3 exons. Lineage: Eukaryota; Metazoa; Chordata; Actinopteri; Cypriniformes; Cyprinidae. The record is from RefSeq and is a predicted model, not a curated record.